Molecule: non-coding RNA, 30 nt
Filed under: Rattus norvegicus (Norway rat)
Lineage: Eukaryota; Metazoa; Chordata; Mammalia; Rodentia; Muridae
Source: RNAcentral
UCUGAGCAGGUGCAAUGAAAGAUCCUAGAU